AUCAGAAUCAGGCUGCUCCAACACACUGACGAAAACAAAUCAACGGCAGGCAAUGGGAUCCAGAAUGGUUUUCUUAGGUGUUUGUAUUAAAAAGAACACCCUACAACUGAAGAUUUUAUGAUGUCAACUUAUGCAGAACAGGUCUAUCAAUAUUGCUAUUGUCCAAGAAACCAGGCUAUGAGGAGCAGCUUGACAACAAAAACGUUUAUCAAUUCAAGUGAAGCUGAGGAGUCUUCAAUAAAUGCUUCACCUCAAA
Molecule: non-coding RNA, 256 nt
Organism: Chiloscyllium plagiosum (whitespotted bambooshark)
Lineage: Eukaryota; Metazoa; Chordata; Chondrichthyes; Orectolobiformes; Hemiscylliidae
Source: RefSeq, a predicted model, not a curated record